RNAcentral lists this transfer RNA (76 nucleotides) under Cotesia glomerata. Its description in RNAcentral is "tRNA-Ala". The stretch from base 7 to 65 matches the Rfam family "tRNA", at positions 7 to 64 of the family's 71-position model. From Rfam's summary of the family: Transfer RNA (tRNA) molecules are approximately 80 nucleotides in length. Lineage: Eukaryota; Metazoa; Arthropoda; Insecta; Hymenoptera; Braconidae. The record is from RNAcentral.
AACACAAUAGCUUAACUAGUAAAGUAUUUGACGCGCAACCAAAUGAUCCAGGUUCGAGUCCUGGUCUGGGCUGUCC